This 306-nucleotide unclassified non-coding RNA is filed under the name plant metagenome. RNAcentral describes it as "partial contains 5.8S ribosomal RNA, internal transcribed spacer 2, and large subunit ribosomal RNA". The stretch from base 1 to 105 matches the Rfam family "5.8S ribosomal RNA", at positions 50 to 154 of the family's 154-position model. The record is from RNAcentral.
GAAAUGCGAUAAGUAAUGUGAAUUGCUGAAUUCAGUGAAUCAUCGAAUCUUUGAACGCACAUUGCGCCCGCCAGUAUUCUGGCGGGCAUGCCUGUCCGAGCGUCAUUUCAACCAUCAAGCCCCCGGGCUUGUGUUGGGGACCUGCGGCUGCCCGCAGGCCCUGAAAACCAGUGGCGGGCUCGCUGUCACACCGAGCGUAGUAGCAAUCACCUCGCUCAGGGCGUGCUGCGGGUUCCGGCCGUUAAACAGCCUUACAAAACCCAAGGUUGACCUCGGAUCAGGUAGGAAGACCCGCUGAACUUAAGC